RNAcentral lists this ribosomal RNA (438 nucleotides) under uncultured bacterium. Its description in RNAcentral is "bacterial SSU rRNA". It matches the Rfam family "Bacterial small subunit ribosomal RNA", at positions 958 to 1392 of the family's 1533-position model. The record is from RNAcentral.
AACGCGAAGAACCUUACCUACCCUUGACAUGGUCGGAAUCCUGCUGAGAGGUGGGAGUGCUCGAAAGAGAACCGGCGCACAGGUGCUGCAUGGCUGUCGUCAGCUCGUGUCGUGAGAUGUUGGGUUAAGUCCCGCAACGAGCGCAACCCUUGUCCUGUAUUGCCAGCGGGUUAUGCCGGGGACUUGCAGGAGACUGCCGGGGUCAACUCGGAGGAAGGUGGGGAUGACGUCAAAUCAUCAUGCCCCUUAUGUCUUGGGCUUCACGCAUGCUACAAUGGCCGGUACAAAGGGCUGCGAUACCGUAAGGUGGAGCGAAUCCCAAAAAGCCGGUCCCAGUUCGGAUUGAGGUCUGCAACUCGACCUCAUGAAGUCGGAGUCGCUAGUAAUCGCAGAUCAGCAACGCUGCGGUGAAUACGUUCCCGGGUCUUGUACACACCG